UCAAAAACAUCCCUUAGGACCUCCUAAGUAUAGCCUGCUCACUGAGUUUAUUUAAGAGCCGCAGUACUCUGACUGUGCUAAGGUAGCAUAAUCAUUUGUUAUUUAAUUGGUAACUUGUAUGAACGGCCUGACGUGAUUUUAACUUUCUUUUUCUUAUCAAGUGAAACUUAUCAUGUAGUAAAAAAGCCACAUUUUUCCAAAAAGACGAUAAGACCCUAGGACUUUAAUUCGAUUGAAUUUUAUUGGGGCGAUAUAAACACUGACAGAUUAUCACUUCAACUUCUUGAACGACAUGAAUAACCUAUUUAAAUAUAAGAAUCUAAGUACCCUAGGGUUAACAGCAUUAUCUAUUUCAAGAGCCCACAUCGACAAAUAGGAUUUUGACCUCGAUGUUGAAUUGAUUAGUUUCCUUUAGAGCAGAAUCUAAAGGGAAAGGUCUGUUCGACCUUGAACUAUCACGUGAUCUGAG
RNAcentral lists this ribosomal RNA (469 nucleotides) under Armadillidae sp. 1 SK2011. Its description in RNAcentral is "partial 16S ribosomal RNA". It matches the Rfam family "Archaeal large subunit ribosomal RNA", at positions 1899 to 2678 of the family's 2987-position model. The record is from RNAcentral. Lineage: Eukaryota; Metazoa; Arthropoda; Malacostraca; Isopoda; Armadillidae.